Small nuclear RNA from Mustela putorius furo (domestic ferret), 102 nucleotides. Lineage: Eukaryota; Metazoa; Chordata; Mammalia; Carnivora; Mustelidae. The record is from Ensembl.
CUACUUGCUUCAGCAGUACACAUACUAAAAUUGGAAUGAUACAGACAUUAGCACGGUCCCUGUGCAAGGAUGACACAGAUUCAUGCAGCGUUCCAUAUUUUU